GAUGAACGCUGGCGGCGUGCCUAAUACAUGCAAGUCGAGCGAACGGACGAGAAGCUUGCUUCUCUGAUGUUAGCGGCGGACGGGUGAGUAACACGUGGAUAACCUACCUAUAAGACUGGGAUAACUUCGGGAAACCGGAGCUAAUACCGGAUAAUAUUUUGAACCGCAUGGUUCAAAAGUAAAAGACGGUCUUGCUGUCACUUAUAGAUGGAUCCGCGCUGCAUUAGCUAGUUGGUAAGGUAACGGCUUACCAAGGCAACGAUGCAUAGCCGACCUGAGAGGGUGAUCGGCCACACUGGAACUGAGACACGGUCCAGACUCCUACGGGAGGCAGCAGUAGGGAAUCUGCCGCAAUGGGCGAAAGCCUGACGGAGCAACGCCGCGUGAGUGAUGAAGGUCUUCGGAUCGUAAAACUCUGUUAUUAGGGAAGAACAUAUGUGUAAGUAACUGUGCACAUCUUGACGGUACCUAAUCAGAAAGCCACGGCUAACUACGUG
RNAcentral lists this ribosomal RNA (497 nucleotides) under uncultured bacterium. RNAcentral describes it as "partial 16S ribosomal RNA". It matches the Rfam family "Bacterial small subunit ribosomal RNA", at positions 28 to 507 of the family's 1533-position model. The record is from RNAcentral.